This is a long non-coding RNA of Corticium candelabrum, 2290 nucleotides long. RefSeq lists it as uncharacterized. The transcript has 8 exons. Lineage: Eukaryota; Metazoa; Porifera; Homoscleromorpha; Homosclerophorida; Plakinidae. The record is from RefSeq and is a predicted model, not a curated record.
UCGAGUAUCCAGACAGGUGCUGACUAACGUCUCAUGACGCUCACGGAGAAAUUUUGCGAAUGGUACAACGUCAUCGUUAGCGUCAGCGUCAGCCUCAGUGUCAACGUCCAGCGUCAUCGUCAGCGUCGUAUUGUGAACUAGUAUAGGCCUAACGCGUCUUUGGAGUUGGAAGUUGAUAUCAAUAGUCGUGAUGCGGAUGGGGUAUGUGUUGUGAGUUCUAGUGUGUGUAUUGGAUGUUGAAAUGAACUGCACGUCGUUUGAUCUCAAAAUAGGACACUCUUCUGAUACAAGCGUGUGAGAAGAAGAACAAGGAGAUGGUUGAGUUGCUGCUCACUAAAUCAGCAGAUGUUAAGAUGUGACUGGCAUUUGUGGAUGGACAGCUUUGAUUGUAUCUGCAAUGUUUGGAUCAGAAGACAUCACUGAUCUAUUACUGAAUGUCAAAGAUAUUAAUGUGAUGAAGAAAGAACAUUUUUUGGGAAUGACAGCCAUCCAUUGGGCUGCAGCGAAUAAUCACGUGACCAUUGUAGAGAGACUUUUGUCUUGUUCUGUUCCUGUUGAUAUCAAUGAUAAUGGUGGUUGUACACCACUGUGGUUUGCUGCCAGUAACGGUGAUGUGUGUUGUGUUGAUGUUCUCCUAAAACAUGGAGCGAGUCCCCAACAUGAGAGUACGAGUUGGGGAUCACCACUGGAGAUUGCCAAGGAAAAGCGUCACAGUGAUGUGGUUGAGAUGAUGGAAGAAGCCAUAAGAUUCUGUCUCAUCCUUAUGUGGAGGGUCGCAUGUUUGUCAUGAAACAUCAAUAUGAAGAGACAAUUGCUGAACUGCAGAGUGAAGUGGAGAAGAUGAAAGAAGACUUAAGAAGAAUAUCUUUGUCACUAAAAGGAAUUCGCUUUCGUAGUUGUGGUAAGGGGCGUUAUCAAGCACAAUAACGGAGCCUGGCUGUACAUUGACUGACAGCUUCUGGAACCACUCCAAGAAAUGCUCUGAGUUCGUUUCGUCGUGGUAGCUAGUCUGUGCUGUUCUUCUUUGAUCUGAAAACCAAGUCUGCAUUGGGAGUCCACCCCGUUUCACUUCCUGCGUGAAGUAUGAUGAGUCGUCGACCCUUUCCUGAAGGUCUUUUCCACCCACCGCGUCCCUGUUCAUCUAGCCAGAGUCUCUCCGGAGCCAUGUGUGAGUUUGCCCAGGUUUCGUCCAAGUACACUAUGGGACGGUCUUCUCUUCUAUACUGCAUAAUGUUUUUGAGGGUAUGUCUGAAUCCCAUUUCCUUCAGUAAGUGAAAGAGAGUUGUCCGCCCGCCAGGAAAUACGCCUUUUUCGCGGACACGCACAAGGAGUUUUGUCCAAGGUUGGAUAGUCUCUAUUUUCAUACAUUUCAUGUACUGUUCUCCGUAUCGCUGCUGGAUCAAAAUCAUCAACGUUGAUGGUCAGUCGGCGUUCUCGUUUAACUAGCGUUUCUUCUGCGGUGUUUGAAACUGUUGACUUGACAAUAAUUCUGUGUGGAUCUUUGCCGACGUCGUUUUGCCUAGCUAUGGGCCAGUGGCAGCUACCAGUCGGUCGGUGACCCUGUUGAGACUGAUGCGAUGUUUGGCUCGUCGUUCUUCUUCGAAGAGUUGUCUGAUACGUUCAACAAGACGCUUUUCCGCUGAAACAACUCGCUCGCUUUUUCUCCUUGCCAUGAAACCUCUGCUAAUCGUAACUAAUAGGUUAAUUAUACAGCAGAGUUCUCGAGCUUCGCGCGCACUCUGGUCUGGAAGUUCGAGGCUAACAGACGGUAGGCAUGAAGGCGCUCCAUCCAAGCGGCAAAGGCCAGACAAAAACAUGCCCGGUUGGGCAAUAACUAGUGAUCAUGAAUUUUAGCUCUCUAUAGACAUAUAUCGCUGCAUAUGCAUGUGCAUGGGUCUAGAGGCCUGUCCACACUGGCAACCGGAUCGCGAUCCAACCGCAACGCUGUCCACACUUGCAACUCGAUCGCGAUCGGUUGAAUCCAAUUAUGAAUAGUGGGCGUUAUCUUCACGUACGCUACGCGUGUAGUCGGAACAUCUAGCACUCCUUACUCGUCUUUGUUCUCGCUCACCUUACGUCGCUGUAUCAAUGCUUUCCACAAGCAAAGAAGCCACACGUACACAUCGGUCAUCAGUCACGUGAUAUCGAAAUGAUCAUGAGGCGGAGGUAGCGUUUUCAAAGUGCAGUGUGGACGCUCGCUAUCCCGAUCGGAUCGCGAUCCAUUCUGGUCUAGUGUGGACAGGCCUAAAAAUGACAUUAUAUUUGGAAUAAAAACUGUUAGUUAAUCCAA